Molecule: ribosomal RNA, 1471 nt
Filed under: Salmonella enterica
Lineage: Bacteria; Pseudomonadati; Pseudomonadota; Gammaproteobacteria; Enterobacterales; Enterobacteriaceae
Description: partial 23S ribosomal RNA
Rfam family: Bacterial large subunit ribosomal RNA
Source: RNAcentral
GUUGAAGGUUGGGUAACACUAACUGGAGGACCGAACCGACUAAUGUUGAAAAAUUAGCGGAUGACCUGUGGCUGGGGGUGAAAGGCCAAUCAAACCGGGAGAUAGCUGGUUCUCCCCGAAAGCUAUUUAGGUAGCGCCUCGUGAAUUCAUCUCCGGGGGUAGAGCACUGUUUCGGCUAGGGGGCCAUCCCGGCUUACCAACCCGAUGCAAACUGCGAAUACCGGAGAAUGUUAUCACGGGAGACACACGGCGGGUGCUAACGUCCGUCGUGAAGAGGGAAACAACCCAGACCGCCAGCUAAGGUCCCAAAGUCAUGGUUAAGUGGGAAACGAUGUGGGAAGGCCCAGACAGCCAGGAUGUUGGCUUAGAAGCAGCCAUCAUUUAAAGAAAGCGUAAUAGCUCACUGGUCGAGUCGGCCUGCGCGGAAGAUGUAACGGGGCUAAACCAUGCACCGAAGCUGCGGCAGCGAACGUAUCACCCAAGACAACUUUACGGAGUUGACGAUUGACGGAGCGAAGCGACGUCAAAGCGUUCAUUAAAGUCGAGUUGGCUUAGGGAUACGUUCGUUGGGUAGGGGAGCGUUCUGUAAGCCUGUGAAGGUGUGUCGUGAGGCAUGCUGGAGGUAUCAGAAGUGCGAAUGCUGACAUAAGUAACGAUAAAGCGGGUGAAAAGCCCGCUCGCCGGAAGACCAAGGGUUCCUGUCCAACGUUAAUCGGGGCAGGGUGAGUCGACCCCUAAGGCGAGGCCGAAAGGCGUAGUCGAUGGGAAACGGGUUAAUAUUCCCGUACUUGGUGUUACUGCGAAGGGGGGACGGAGAAGGCUAUGUUGGCCGGGCGACGGUUGUCCCGGUUUAAGCGUGUAGGUGUGUGUUCCAGGUAAAUCCGGUUCACUUUAACACUGAGGCGUGACGACGAGGCACUACGGUGCUGAAGCAACAAAUGCCCUGCUUCCAGGAAAAGCCUCUAAGCAUCAGGUAACAUCAAAUCGUACCCCAAACCGACACAGGUGGUCAGGUAGAGAAUACCAAGGCGCUUGAGAGAACUCGGGUGAAGGAACUAGGCAAAAUGGUGCCGUAACUUCGGGAGAAGGCACGCUGACACGUAGGUGAAGUGAUUUACUCAUGGAGCUGAAGUCAGUCGAAGAUACCAGCUGGCUGCAACUGUUUAUUAAAAACACAGCACUGUGCAAACACGAAAGUGGACGUAUACGGUGUGACGCCUGCCCGGUGCCGGAAGGUUAAUUGAUGGGGUCAGCGCAAGCGAAGCUCCUGAUCGAAGCCCCGGUAAACGGCGGCCGUAACUAUAACGGUCCUAAGGUAGCGAAAUUCCUUGUCGGGUAAGUUCCGACCUGCACGAAUGGCGUAAUGAUGGCCAGGCUGUCUCCACCCGAGACUCAGUGAAAUUGAACUCGCUGUGAAGAUGCAGUGUACCCGCGGCAAGACGGAAAGACCCCGUGAACCUUUACUAUAGCU